GCCUUCAGCAGGACAGGAAUGUUGUAUAGAUACUGACAGGAAAGUGACACUGCCUGGGGAGCUUGGUGACUCACUCUGUAUCAUUCAAAUAUAUGAUGUGAAGAAAUGCAGCAUGACAUGAUUCAGAGUGAAGCCACUGAAACAGUGUUUUUGGCCAGAAUUGUUGGAUGAAUGGCUGAAGAGGGAACAUCUGUACUUACUCAGAGACCUGCACUUCUCUGGAUGACAGAAUCCUGUUGCUCAGCUCAUGAAGCCAUGGCAGCACCACGGCCGGCACUCUCCCCACCAGGCAGCUCAGCGUGAACGAGGCUUGUCAUCACCUUCACUGUGAGACAGCUGUGACUAAACAGCUGUCUCACAGUGGACGGCAGAAGCAGCUGCAGAGCCAGAAGAGAGUGAGCCACAGCACCACCAGUGUCUACACCACCAGUGUCUACACCACCAGUGUCCACACCACCAGUGUCUACACCCUGUCCAUGCUGGAGGAUCUCUGGAUCUCUGCUCUUUGUCUUUGUGUAAACUCGUCUGUGAGUGGGGCUCCAGCUAGCAGACUAUUGGACCUAACAACAAGCAGUCAUCUGACCGGAUCUGCAUACUGGUGACAAUAUCUGCACUAUUUCUAUAUUCUUCUUAUUUAUGGGACUCAUUAUUCAUGUUAAUUAACACGUGAUCUAAAACUG
This is a long non-coding RNA of Cottoperca gobio, 680 nucleotides long. RefSeq lists it as uncharacterized. The transcript has 4 exons. Lineage: Eukaryota; Metazoa; Chordata; Actinopteri; Perciformes; Bovichtidae. The record is from RefSeq and is a predicted model, not a curated record.